UAAGCGACUAAGCGUACACGGUGGAUGCCCUGGCAGUCAGAGGCGAUGAAGGACGUGCUAAUCUGCGAAAAGCGUCGGUAAGGUGAUAUGAACCGUUAUAACCGGCGAUGUCCGAAUGGGGAAACCCAGUGUGAUUCGUCACACUAUCGUUAACUGAAUACAUAGGUUAACGAGGCGAACCGGGGGAACUGAAACAUCUAAGUACCCCGAGGAAAAGAAAUCAACCGAGAUUCCCCCAGUAGCGGCGAGCGAACGGGGAGCAGCCCAGAGUCUGAAUCAGCUUGUGUGUUAGUGGAACGGUCUGGAAAGUCCGACGGUACAGGGUGAUAGUCCCGUACACCAAAAUGCACAGGCUGUGAACUCGAAGAGUAGGGCGGGACACGUGGUAUCCUGUCUGAAUAUGGGGGGACCAUCCUCCAAGGCUAAAUACUCCUGACUGACCGAUAGUGAACCAGUACCGUGAGGGAAAGGCGAAAAGAACCCCGGCGAGGGGAGUGAAAAAGAACCUGAAACCGUGUACGUACAAGCAGUGGGAGCACCUUCGGGUGUGACUGCGUACCUUUUGUAUAAUGGGUCAGCGACUUAUAUUCUGUAGCAAGGUUAACCGUAUAGGGGAGCCGCAGGGAAACCGAGUCUUAACUGGGCGUUAAGUUGCAGGGUAUAGACCCGAAACCCGGUGAUCUAGCCAUGGGCAGGUUGAAGGUUGGGUAACACUAACUGGAGGACCGAACCGACUAAUGUUGAAAAAUUAGCGGAUGACUUGUGGCUGGGGGUGAAAGGCCAAUCAAACCGGGAGAUAGCUGGUUCUCCCCGAAAGCUAUUUAGGUAGCGCCUCGUGAACUCAUCUUCGGGGGUAGAGCACUGUUUCGGCUAGGGGGUCAUCCCGACUUACCAACCCGAUGCAAACUACGAAUACCGAAGAAUGUUAUCACGGGAGACACACGGCGGGUGCUAACGUCCGUCGUGAAGAGGGAAACAACCCAGACCGCCAGCUAAGGUCCCAAAGUCAUGGUUAAGUGGGAAACGAUGUGGGAAGGCACAGACAGCCAGGAUGUUGGCUUAGAAGCAGCCAUCAUUUAAAGAAAGCGUAAUAGCUCACUGGUCGAGUCGGCCUGCGCGGAAGAUGUAACGGGGCUAAACCAUGCACCGAAGCUGCGGCAGCGACACUAUGUGUUGUUGGGUAGGGGAGCGUUCUGUAAGCCUGCGAAGGUGACCUGUGAGGGUUGCUGGAGGUAUCAGAAGUGCGAAUGCUGACAUAAGUAACGAUAAAGCGGGUGAAAAGCCCGCUCGCCGGAAGACCAAGGGUUCCUGUCCAACGUUAAUCGGGGCAGGGUGAGUCGACCCCUAAGGCGAGGCCGAAAGGCGUAGUCGAUGGGAAACAGGUUAAUAUUCCUGUACUUGGUGUUACUGCGAAGGGGGGACGGAGAAGGCUAUGUUAGCCGGGCGACGGUUGUCCCGGUUUAAGCAUGUAGGCUGGUUAUCCAGGCAAAUCCGGAUAAUCAAGGCUGAGGUGUGAUGACGAGGCACUACGGUGCUGAAGUAACAAAUGCCCUGCUUCCAGGAAAAGCCUCUAAGCAUCAGGUAACAUCAAAUCGUACCCCAAACCGACACAGGUGGUCAGGUAGAGAAUACCAAGGCGCUUGAGAGAACUCGGGUGAAGGAACUAGGCAAAAUGGUGCCGUAACUUCGGGAGAAGGCACGCUGGUGUGUAGGUGAAGCCCCUGCGGGUGGAGCUGAGACCAGUCGAAGAUACCAGCUGGCUGCAACUGUUUAUUAAAAACACAGCACUGUGCAAACACGAAAGUGGACGUAUACGGUGUGACGCCUGCCCGGUGCCGGAAGGUUAAUUGAUGGGGUUAUCCGUAAGGAGAAGCUCUUGAUCGAAGCCCCGGUAAACGGCGGCCGUAACUAUAACGGUCCUAAGGUAGCGAAAUUCCUUGUCGGGUAAGUUCCGACCUGCACGAAUGGCGUAAUGAUGGCCAGGCUGUCUCCACCCGAGACUCAGUGAAAUUGAACUCGCUGUGAAGAUGCAGUGUACCCGCGGCAAGACGGAAAGACCCCGUGAACCUUUACUAUAGCUUGACACUGAACAUUGAGCCUUGAUGUGUAGGAUAGGUGGGAGGCUUUGAAGCGUGGACGCCAGUCUGCGUGGAGCCAACCUUGAAAUACCACCCUUUAAUGUUUGAUGUUCUAACGUUGGCCCCUUACCGGGGUUGCGGACAGUGUCUGGUGGGUAGUUUGACUGGGGCGGUCUCCUCCCAAAGCGUAACGGAGGAGCACGAAGGUUAGCUAAUCCUGGUCGGACAUCAGGAGGUUAGUGCAAUGGCAUAAGCUAGCUUGACUGCGAGCGUGACGGCGCGAGCAGGUGCGAAAGCAGGUCAUAGUGAUCCGGUGGUUCUGAAUGGAAGGGCCAUCGCUCAACGGAUAAAAGGUACUCCGGGGAUAACAGGCUGAUACCGCCCAAGAGUUCAUAUCGACGGCGGUGUUUGGCACCUCGAUGUCGGCUCAUCACAUCCUGGGGCUGAAGUAGGUCCCAAGGGUAUGGCUGUUCGCCAUUUAAAGUGGUACGCGAGCUGGGUUUAGAACGUCGUGAGACAGUUCGGUCCCUAUCUGCCGUGGGCGCUGGAGAAUUGAGGGGGGCUGCUCCUAGUACGAGAGGACCGGAGUGGACGCAUCACUGGUGUUCGGGUUGUCAUGCCAAUGGCACUGCCCGGUAGCUAAAUGCGGAAGAGAUAAGUGCUGAAAGCAUCUAAGCACGAAACUUGCCCCGAGAUGAGUUCUCCCUGAGACUUUAAGUCUCCUGAAGGAACGUUGAAGACGACGACGUUGAUAGGCCGGGUGUGUAAGCGCAGCGAUGCGUUGAGCUAACCGGUACUAAUGAACCGUGAGGCUUAACCU
This 2898-nucleotide ribosomal RNA is filed under the name Klebsiella pneumoniae. RNAcentral's name for it is "bacterial LSU rRNA". It matches the Rfam family "Bacterial large subunit ribosomal RNA". Lineage: Bacteria; Pseudomonadati; Pseudomonadota; Gammaproteobacteria; Enterobacterales; Enterobacteriaceae. The record is from RNAcentral.